CAGGCGACGACGGGUAGCCGGCCUGAGAGGGCGACCGGCCACACUGGGACUGAGACACGGCCCAGACUCCUACGGGAGGCAGCAGUGGGGAAUAUUGCACAAUGGGCGGAAGCCUGAUGCAGCGACGCCGCGUGAGGGAUGACGGCCUUCGGGUUGUAAACCUCUUUCAGCAGGGACGAAGCGCAAGUGACGGUACCUGCAGAAGAAGCGCCGGCCAACUACGUGCCAGCAGCCGCGGUAAGACGUAGGGCGCGAGCGUUGUCCGGAUUUAUUGGGCGUAAAGAGCUCGUAGGCGGCUUGUCGCGUCGAAUGUGAAAUCUCAAAGCUCAACUNNGNNNUUGCAUUCGAUACGGGCAGGCUAGAGUUCGGUAGGGGAGACUGGAAUUCCUGGUGUAGCGGUGAAAUGCGCAGAUAUCAGGAGGAACACCGNUGGCGAAGGCGGGUCUCUGGGCCGAUACUGACGCUGAGGAGCGAAAGCGUGGGGAGCGAACAGGAUUAGAUACCCUGGUAGUCCACGCUGUAAACGUUGGGCGCUAGGUGUGGGGACCCUCUCCGGNUUUCUGCGCCGCAGCUAACGCAUUAAGCGCCCCGCCUGGGG
This 598-nucleotide ribosomal RNA is filed under the name Actinoplanes sp. MS-C4. RNAcentral's name for it is "bacterial SSU rRNA". It matches the Rfam family "Bacterial small subunit ribosomal RNA", at positions 270 to 878 of the family's 1533-position model. Lineage: Bacteria; Bacillati; Actinomycetota; Actinomycetes; Micromonosporales; Micromonosporaceae. The record is from RNAcentral.